This 300-nucleotide ribosomal RNA is filed under the name Aeromonas sp. It matches the Rfam family "Bacterial small subunit ribosomal RNA", at positions 195 to 476 of the family's 1533-position model. Lineage: Bacteria; Pseudomonadati; Pseudomonadota; Gammaproteobacteria; Aeromonadales; Aeromonadaceae. The record is from RNAcentral.
UACGGGGCAAAGGAGGGGACCUUCGGGCCUUUCGCGAUUGGAUGAACCCAGGUGGGAUUAGCUAGUUGGUGGGGUAAUGGCUCACCAAGGCGACGAUCCCUAGCUGGUCUGAGAGGAUGAUCAGCCACACUGGAACUGAGACACGGUCCAGACUCCUACGGGAGGCAGCAGUGGGGAAUAUUGCACAAUGGGGGAAACCCUGAUGCAGCCAUGCCGCGUGUGUGAAGAAGGCCUUCGGGUUGUAAAGCACUUUCAGCGAGGAGGAAAGGUUGGCGCCUAAUACGUGUCAACUGUGACGUU